This 259-nucleotide ribosomal RNA is filed under the name uncultured bacterium. Its description in RNAcentral is "partial 16S ribosomal RNA". It matches the Rfam family "Bacterial small subunit ribosomal RNA", at positions 793 to 1055 of the family's 1533-position model. The record is from RNAcentral.
GUCCACGCCCUAAACGAUGAAUACUCGAUGUUAGCGAUAUACAGUUAGCGUCAAAGCGAAAGCGUUAAGUAUUCCACCUGGGGAGUACGCCCGCAAGGGUGAAACUCAAAGGAAUUGACGGGGCCCGCACAAGCGGAGGAGCAUGUGGUUUAAUUCGAUGAUACGCGAGGAACCUUUACCCGGGGCUUGAAAGUUACUGAAGUAUCCAGAGAUGGAUGCGUCCGCAAGGACAGGAAACUAGGUGCUGCAUGGCUGUCGU